RNAcentral lists this ribosomal RNA (380 nucleotides) under uncultured eukaryote. RNAcentral's name for it is "partial 18S ribosomal RNA". It matches the Rfam family "Eukaryotic small subunit ribosomal RNA", at positions 592 to 976 of the family's 1831-position model. The record is from RNAcentral.
CAAUAGCGUAUAUUAAAGUUGUUGCAGUUAAAAAGCUCGUAGUUGGAUUUGUGGCGUACGGUGUGUUCCGGGCACUUGUUGUCUGAGUAACCUGCUGUUGCCAUCCUUGGGUGGAACCUGUGUGGCAUUAGGUUGUCGUGCAGGGGAUGCCCAUCAUUUACUGUGAAAAAAUUAGAGUGUUCAAAGCAGGCUUAUGCCGUUGAAUAUAUUAGCAUGGAAUAAUGAGAUAGGACUUUUUUGCUAUUUUGUUGGUUUGCGCAAAGAGGUAAUGAUCAAUAGGGACAGUUGGGGGUAUUCGUAUUCCAUUGUCAGAGGUGAAAUUCUUGGAUUUUUGGAAGACGAACUACUGUGAAAGCAUUUACCAAGGAUGUUUUCAUUAA